RNAcentral lists this ribosomal RNA (429 nucleotides) under Chloroflexota bacterium. Its description in RNAcentral is "Chloroflexi bacterium partial 16S ribosomal RNA". It matches the Rfam family "Bacterial small subunit ribosomal RNA", at positions 355 to 776 of the family's 1533-position model. The record is from RNAcentral. Lineage: Bacteria; Bacillati; Chloroflexota.
UGGGGAAUAUUGCACAAUGGGCGCAAGCCUGAUGCAGCCAUGCCGCGUGUGUGAAGAAGGCCUUCGGGUUGUAAAGUACUUUCAGUCGGGAGGAAGGUGGUAAGGUUAAUAACCUUAUCAAUUGACGUUACCGACAGAAGAAGCACCGGCUAACUCCGUGCCAGCAGCCGCGGUAAUACGGAGGGUGCAAGCGUUAAUCGGAAUUACUGGGCGUAAAGCGCACGCAGGCGGUUGAUUGAGUCAGAUGUGAAAUCCCCGGGCUUAACCCGGGAAUUGCAUCUGAUACUGGUCAGCUAGAGUCUUGUAGAGGGGGGUAGAAUUCCAUGUGUAGCGGUGAAAUGCGUAGAGAUGUGGAGGAAUACCGGUGGCGAGGGCGGCCCCCUGGACAAAGACUGACGCUCAGGUGCGAAAGCGUGGGGAGCAAACAGG